Long non-coding RNA from Homo sapiens (human), 1559 nucleotides. Ensembl annotates it as cancer/testis associated transcript 69. Its record names the gene CT69. The record is from Ensembl. NCBI's taxonomy places the organism in Eukaryota, Metazoa, Chordata, Mammalia, Primates, Hominidae.
GACUCAUUGGUCAUUCCAGAUGCUCUGAUCCUAAUAAUCCUUUUGAUACUCUGUUCUAAUUUACUAAGAAGAGUCACCAAUUUUGUUUCUGUGGUUUGGUAUGAAAUAAGGUGGCAGAAACAGCACUCUCCAAAUAUCCAUGCACUCCUGACAUUUUUCAGCAGCCCACAUUACUAAUUCUGGCUGAGGGAUUGGGAGCAGAAGAGACACGUGUCAUCUCUGAGUUGAGGCUGUUAAGAGCUGGUGCAACUUUCCAUUCUUCUCUUCCCCUCUAGCAGUGACCUGAGAAGCUACGUAUUGACACGGCGCUACCACGGGUGGAGGAGCCUGCAUUGCUGAAUCACAGGAUGAAGGCGAAUCCCUGCCAGCCUCCAUCCAUCUCUGGGGUGCUUAGCAGAAUCCUCAGCUCACAAGAUGAAUAAAUGCAGACUAAAUGAUGCACAAAUAAUCUUCACACACAACCAUCAACACAUGGAAAGACUGCAGGACGGCCAGAUCCCAAGCUAACAAACAGGGGAAGAUGAUGUUUCAAAUGAUCAUCUGAAUGCUGGGUUUCCACCUUCCACCAGGAAGUCAUAUGGUAAAAAGAAAAAAAAUGGCAUUAUGAUACAAACAGAAAAUGUAACAGUGGAGUGCAGAAAAUACAAAAAAAAGGAAAAAAUAAAUAGAAAAUCUUCAAAGAGGCAAUCUGUUUAAAUCUUCAAGAACUGGAAACAGUAAAAGUGAACAGGUUUUUAUUGAGCAUGUCAAUAAAAUGUUUGCAUAAGACUUUACAAGUGCUUUAUUUCAUGAGGUUUUUAUUAUUGAUCAAAGCAACGAAAAUGAACGGGAAAUUCAUUCUCAUCAAAUCUACAACUUGGGAGGAGGUCCGAUGAAAUCCCUGGAAGCUCACAUUUUUUAUAAAUGAAGAGUUAAUUACCGGUGGGAACAAUGAGAACCUCUGUGGUUCUUCCUGAUGCUUGGAUCCUCCCAGACCUCUGUUUCCAGUCUCCUUCUCCACAACCUGGCCUAUGCGAUGCAAGUGGUCUAACUGAUCUCCGCCUAGGGAAGGAUCCUUCGGCAACUUGCCGACAAGAGAAGCAGCGAUGCCCGAGGCAGGUCCAAAGGAGCACUGACUGCGUGGGAUUGAUUACACUGGAGGAACAAAAGGUCCUGUGGCUACACAAGUUUGAAAAGCAGAAGGUACAAUCAUUGUAUUUCUGGCAGACUUUUCAAAGACUUUAAUAUAUGAAUCCCUCAUAUGAAUCUCCUGGAGGAUUAUAUAAUAGGCAGAUCUCCCAGCCAUUUUCACUGAACAGUUCUUAGAAUUGGUAUCCUUGAAAAAUUUCACCUAACCACUCAAUAUGGUAGCCACUAGUCCUGGGUGGCUAUUGAGCACCUGAAAUUUGCCUAGUCUGAAUUAAGACACAUUCUAAGAAUAAAGCACACUGUAUUUCAAAGGCAGUACAAAAAUAAAAAAGAAUGUAAGCUGUCUCAAUAAUAAUUUUUGUAUUGAAUACGUGUUGAAAUGAUGUUAUUUUUGAUAUAUUGAGUGAAAUAAAUUGUAUUGCUAAAAUGAA